GUGUCAGCAGCCGCGGUAAUACAGAGACUGCAAGCGUUACUCGGAUUCACUGGGCGUAAAGGGAGCGCAGGCGGACCGGUGUGUCAGAUGUGAAACCCCAGGGCUCAACCCUGGGACUGCGUCUGAAACUGCCGGUCUAGGGACUCGGAGGGGCUAGUGGAAUUCCUGGUGGAGCAGUGAAAUGCGUAGAUAUCAGGAGGAACACCAACGGCGAAGGCAGCUAGCUGGACGAGAUCCGACGCUCAGGCUCGAAAGUAUGGGGAGCAAAAAGGAUUAGAUACCCCGGUAGUCC
Molecule: ribosomal RNA, 292 nt
Filed under: uncultured bacterium
Lineage: Bacteria
Description: partial 16S ribosomal RNA
Rfam family: Bacterial small subunit ribosomal RNA
Source: RNAcentral